This 218-nucleotide ribosomal RNA is filed under the name uncultured bacterium. RNAcentral describes it as "partial 16S ribosomal RNA". It matches the Rfam family "Bacterial small subunit ribosomal RNA", at positions 524 to 741 of the family's 1533-position model. The record is from RNAcentral.
UACAGAGGGUGCGAGCGUUAAUCGGAAUUACUGGGCGUAAAGCGCACGUAGGCGGCUUUGUAAGUUAGAGGUGAAAGCCCGGGGCUCAACUCCGGAAUUGCCUUUAAGACUGCAUCGCUAGAAUUGUGGAGAGGUAAGUGGAAUUCCGAGUGUAGAGGUGAAAUUCGUAGAUAUUCGGAAGAACACCAGUGGCGAAGGCGACUUACUGGACACAUAUU